UCACCAAGGCGACGACGCGUUCAGCUAGUUGGUGAGGUAAUGGCUCACCAAGGCGACGACGGGUAGCCGGCCUGAGAGGGUGACCGGCCACACUGGGACUGAGACACGGCCCAGACUCCUACGGGAGGCAGCAGUGGGGAAUAUUGCACAAUGGGCGCAAGCCUGAUGCAGCAACGCCGCGUGAGGGACGAAGGCCUUCGGGUUGUAAACCUCUUUUAGUAGGGAAGAAGUGACUGGGUUUUCCUGGAAGUGACGGUACCUGCAGAAAAAGCACCGGCUAACUACGUGCCAGCAGCCGCGGUAAUACGUAGGGUGCAAGCGUUGUCCGGAAUUAUUGGGCGUACAGAGCUCGUAGGCGGUUUGUUGCGUCUGCUGUGAAAACCCGAGGCUCAACCUCGGGCCUGCAGUGGGUACGGGCAGACUAGAGUGCGGUAGGGGAGAUUGGAAUUCCUGGUGUAGCGGUGGAAUGCGCAGAUAUCAGGAGGAACACCAAUGGCGAAGGCAGAUCUCUGGGCCGUAACUGACGCUGAGGAGCGAAAGCAUGGGGAGCGAACAGGAUUAGAUACCCUGGUAGUCCAUGCCGUAAACGUUGGGAGCUAGAUGUGGGGACCAUUCCACGGUCUCCGUGUCGCAGCUAACGCAUUAAGUUCCCCGCCUGGGGAGUACGGCCGCAAGGCUAAAACUCAAAGGAAUUGACGGGGGCCCGCACAAGCGGCGGAGCAUGCGGAUUAAUUCGAUGCAACGCGAAGAACCUUACCAAGGCUUGACAUAUACCGGAAACGGCUGGAAACAGUCGCCCCCAAGGUCGGUAUACAGGUGGUGCAUGGUUGUCGUCAGCUCGUGUCGUGAGAUGUUGGGUUAAGUCCCGCAACGAGCGCAACCCUCGUCCUAUGUUGCCAGCACGUAAUGGUGGGAACUCCCCUGGUCCGACCCUGCCGUUUACCGGAUACCUGGCCCCCCUUCUUCCCUUUGGGGAAAG
Molecule: ribosomal RNA, 979 nt
Filed under: uncultured Cryobacterium sp.
Lineage: Bacteria; Bacillati; Actinomycetota; Actinomycetes; Micrococcales; Microbacteriaceae
Description: bacterial SSU rRNA
Rfam family: Bacterial small subunit ribosomal RNA
Source: RNAcentral